GAUGAACGCUGGCGGCGUGCCUAAUACAUGCAAGUCGAGCGAACGGACGAGAAGCUUGCUUCUCUGAUGUUAGCGGCGGACGGGUGAGUAACACGUGGAUAACCUACCUAUAAGACUGGGAUAACUUCGGGAAACCGGAGCUAAUACCGGAUGAUAUUUUGAACCGCAUGGUUCAAAAGUGAAAGACGGUCUUGCUGUCACUUAUAGAUGGAUCCGCGCUGCAUUAGCUAGUUGGUAAGGUAACGGCUUACCAAGGCAACGAUGCAUAGCCGACCUGAGAGGGUGAUCGGCCACACUGGAACUGAGACACGGUCCAGACUCCUACGGGAGGCGGCAGUAGGGAAUCUUCCGCAAAGGGCGAAAGCCUGACGGAGCAACGCCGCGUGAGUGAUGAAGGUCUUCGGAUCGUAAAACUCUGUUAUUAGGGAAGAACAUAUGUGUAAGUAACUGUGCACAUCUUGACGGUACCUAAUCAGAAAGCCACGGCUAACUACGUG
RNAcentral lists this ribosomal RNA (497 nucleotides) under uncultured bacterium. Its description in RNAcentral is "partial 16S ribosomal RNA". It matches the Rfam family "Bacterial small subunit ribosomal RNA", at positions 28 to 507 of the family's 1533-position model. The record is from RNAcentral.